CGCAAUGAUAUUUUAGAAGUUGAUGAAGUACAAGAAGUUAAAAGUAUUAAAGGGCGUUACCAUGGAAGUAGUGUGUUUAUUGAUGUCACAAUUGUUGUAGAUGCUAACCUUUCCUUAGUAGAAGCGCAUCAAAUUUGUGACAAUGUCGAACAUCAUUUGCACAAAAAAGGUAUUUCCUCAGUAUACGUUCACCCAGAACCAGACCAUCUAUAAUGUAUUUAAACGUCUUCAUAGAUAUAUAAA
RNAcentral lists this small RNA (243 nucleotides) under Staphylococcus aureus. Its description in RNAcentral is "HMPRFS0000_2707". Lineage: Bacteria; Bacillati; Bacillota; Bacilli; Caryophanales; Staphylococcaceae. The record is from RNAcentral.